GAUGAACGCUGGCGGCGUGCCUAAGAUAUGCAAGUCGAGCGGUAAGGCCCUUCGGGUACGACGAGCGGCGGACGGCUUAGUAACGCGUAGGAACGUACCCUAAAAGUAGAGGGAUAGCCCACCGAAAGGUGGAUUAAUACCGCAUAAUCUCUUCGGAGCAAACUUAUUAAGGCUUUAGGAGCGGCCUGCGUACGAUUAGGUAGUUGGUGAGGUAAAGGCUCACCAAGCCGACGAUCGUUAGCUGGUCUGAGAGGAUGAUCAGCAAGACUGGGACUGAGACACGGCCCAGACCCCUACGGGGGCAGCAAUUAGGAAUAUUUCGCAAUGGGGAAACCCUGACGGAGCGACGCCGCGUGCAGGAUGAAUGCCUUCGGGUUGUAAACUGCUUUUAUGGGGAAGAUUAUGACGGUACCCCAGGAAUAAGGACCUGCUAACUACGUGCCAGCCGCCGCCGUAAC
RNAcentral lists this ribosomal RNA (458 nucleotides) under uncultured bacterium. RNAcentral's name for it is "bacterial SSU rRNA". It matches the Rfam family "Bacterial small subunit ribosomal RNA", at positions 28 to 524 of the family's 1533-position model. The record is from RNAcentral.